Molecule: long non-coding RNA, 778 nt
Organism: Acanthochromis polyacanthus (spiny chromis)
Lineage: Eukaryota; Metazoa; Chordata; Actinopteri; Pomacentridae
Exons: 4
Source: RefSeq, a predicted model, not a curated record
GAGGAGGAGGAAGAGGAGGAGGAGGAGAUAGAGGAGGAGGAGAACCCUGAAGACUCCACUGUAGAUUAUGGCGUCUUAGAGCCUACAGAUGUGCCUGGUGACUUUGAUGGUUCAGGGGACAGCAGCAGCAGCCCCAAAGAUGCCUCAGAGCCAGACAACAAGCCCUGACGACCAAGACUGAUCUGAUUAAGACGACCAAGACGGGUCUGAUGAAGACGGCAAAGUGGAGUUAAGAUGAAAAAUAAAGAAGAAGCACUUUAACUUAGACAGAACAAUAAAUAAACAGGAAUAUUAAAGAAAAAGAUAUCGAGUUCACAAGUCAAGGUAAAGAAAAAACCAAAUGAACUCAACAUGAAUGAAAAAGCUGAUGAAAUACGUUUAGUUGAUGUAAAGAAUUCAGCUUAAAAAUGUAAACAUCCAGAUGAAGAAUAGUAAAAUUUAAUCAAGAGUCUGACAUAAAAAUGAGGAAUUUAUAAUUCAAAAUGAAGAAUAUUUAAUGAGACUUUUAUCUUUUUACUUUUUGAAAGCAAUGUUGAAAAAAAGGUUCCGUAUUUUUUUGCGAACAUAUUUCUACUAAACUGGGAACGUUUUAUCGCUGUUGUUUCAUGAAAGUUUCCUGAUGGGAUUCUUACAAACAAGCUGAUAGAAACUAAAGUUUGGAACCUGAUGAAUUAAACAAAAAUCUGCUUUUGUAUCUCUGGUGUGCAUCAUAUUGAAACCCUUGAACCUGUGAGGCUGACCUACUUCAUUUAAAUAAAUCCAUUUACUCUCAGACACA